UACAGAGGUCCCAAGCGUUGUUCGGAUUCACUGGGCGUAAAGGGUGCGUAGGCGGUCGGGUGAGUCUGGCGUGAAAUCUCCAAGCCUAACUUGGAAACUGCGUUGGAUACUAUCCGGCUCGAGGAAUGGAGGGGAGACUGGAAUACUUGGUGUAGCAGUGAAAUGCGUAGAUAUCAAGUGGAACACCAGUGGCGAAGGCGAGUCUCUGGACAUUUCCUGACGCUGAGGCACGAAAGCCAGGGGAGCAAACGGG
Molecule: ribosomal RNA, 253 nt
Filed under: uncultured bacterium
Lineage: Bacteria
Description: partial 16S ribosomal RNA
Rfam family: Bacterial small subunit ribosomal RNA
Source: RNAcentral